CUAUACAUGCAAGUCGAGCGGACAGAUGGGAGCUUGCUCCCUGAAGUCAGCGGCGGACGGGUGAGUAACACGUGGGCAACCUGCCUGUAAGACUGGGAUAACUCCGGGAAACCGGGGCUAAUACCGGAUAAUUCUUUCCCUCACAUGAGGGAAAGCUGAAAGAUGGUUUCGGCUAUCACUUACAGAUGGGCCCGCGGCGCAUUAGCUAGUUGGUGAGGUAACGGCUCACCAAGGCAACGAUGCGUAGCCGACCUGAGAGGGUGAUCGGCCACACUGGGACUGAGACACGGCCCAGACUCCUACGGGAGGCAGCAGUAGGGAAUCUUCCGCAAUGGACGAAAGUCUGACGGAGCAACGCCGCGUGAGUGAUGAAGGUUUUCGGAUCGUAAAACUCUGUUGUUAGGGAAGAACAAGUACCGGAGUAACUGCCGGUACCUUGACGGUACCUAACCAGAAAGCCACGGCUAACUACGUGCCAGCAGCCGCGGUAAUACGUAGGUGGCAAGCGUUGUCCGGAAUUAUUGGGCGUAAAGCGCGCGCAGGCGGUUCCUUAAGUCUGAUGUGAAAGCCCCCGGCUCAACCGGGGAGGGUCAUUGGAAACUGGGGAACUUGAGUGCAGAAGAGAAGAGUGGAAUUCCACGUGUAGCG
This 648-nucleotide ribosomal RNA is filed under the name Bacillus sp. MR-CH-I23. RNAcentral's name for it is "bacterial SSU rRNA". It matches the Rfam family "Bacterial small subunit ribosomal RNA", at positions 49 to 680 of the family's 1533-position model. The record is from RNAcentral. Lineage: Bacteria; Bacillati; Bacillota; Bacilli; Caryophanales; Bacillaceae.